This 437-nucleotide ribosomal RNA is filed under the name uncultured bacterium. Its description in RNAcentral is "bacterial SSU rRNA". It matches the Rfam family "Bacterial small subunit ribosomal RNA", at positions 338 to 789 of the family's 1533-position model. The record is from RNAcentral.
CCUACGGGAGGCAGCAGUGGGGAAUAUUGGGCAAUGGGCGAAAGCCUGACCCAGCAAUGCCGCGUGAAUGAAGAAGGUCUUAGGAUUGUAAAAUUCUGUCCUAUGGGAAGAAACAAAUGACGGUACCAUAGGAGGAAGCCCCGGCUAACUACGUGCCAGCAGCCGCGGUAAUACGUAGGGGGCGAGCGUUGUCCGGAAUUACUGGGCGUAAAGAGAGCGUAGGCGGCACUACAAGUCUCAUGUGAAAUACCCGGGCUUAACUUGGGGGUUGCAUGGGAAACUGUAGAGCUUGAGUACAGGAGAGGCAAGCGGAAUUCCUAGUGUAGCGGUGAAAUGCAUAGAUAUUAGGAGGAACACCAGUGGCGAAGGCGGCUUGCUGGACUGAAACUGACGCUGAGGCUCGAAAGCGUGGGGAGCAAACAGGAUUAGAUACCCUU